RNAcentral lists this ribosomal RNA (400 nucleotides) under uncultured bacterium. Its description in RNAcentral is "bacterial SSU rRNA". It matches the Rfam family "Bacterial small subunit ribosomal RNA", at positions 355 to 747 of the family's 1533-position model. The record is from RNAcentral.
UGGGGAAUUUUGGACAAUGGGGGCAACCCUGAUCCAGCCAUGCCGCGUGAGUGAAGAAGGCCUUCGGGUUGUAAAGCUCUUUCGGUGGGAACGAAAUGGCUCGCGCUAAUACCGCGGGUCGAUGACGGUACUCACAGAAGAAGCACCGGCUAACUACGUGCCAGCAGCCGCGGUAAUACGUAGGGUGCGAGCGUUAAUCGGAAUUACUGGGCGUAAAGCGUGCGCAGGCGGUGCAUCAAGCUCGAUGUGAAAGCCCCGGGCUUAACCUGGGAAUUGCAUUGAGGACUGGUGCGCUCGAGUGCGGCAGAGGGGGGUGGAAUUCCACGUGUAGCAGUGAAAUGCGUAGAGAUGUGGAGGAACACCGAUGGCGAAGGCAGCCCCCUGGGCCGACACUGACGCU